Molecule: ribosomal RNA, 450 nt
Filed under: uncultured bacterium
Lineage: Bacteria
Description: partial 16S ribosomal RNA
Rfam family: Bacterial small subunit ribosomal RNA
Source: RNAcentral
GUGGGGAAUAUUGGACAAUGGGCGAAAGCCUGAUCCAGCCAUGCCGCGUGUGUGAAGAAGGUCUUCGGAUUGUAAAGCACUUUAAGUUGGGAGGAAGGGCAGUAAGUUAAUACCUUGCUGUUUUGACGUUACCGACAGAAUAAGCACCGGCUAACUUCGUGCCAGUAGCCGCGGUAAUACGAAGGGUGCAAGCGUUAAUCGGAAUUACUGGGCGUAAAGCGCGCGUAGGUGGGUUUGUAAGUUGGAGGUGAAAUCCCCGGGCUCAACCUGGGAACUGCCUCCAAAACUACUGAGCUAGAGGACGGUAGAGGGUAGUGGAAUUUCCUGUGUAGCGGUGAAAUGCGUAGAUAUAGGAAGGAACACCAGUGGCGAAGGCGACUACCUGGACUGAUACUGACACUGAGGUGCGAAAGCGUGGGGAGCAAACAGGAUUAGAUACCCGAGUAGUCC